UACAGAGGGUGCAAGCGUUGUUCGGAAUUAUUGGGCGUAAAGCGCGUGUAGGCGGCUUGGCAAGUCGGGUGUGAAAUCCCUCAGCUUAACUGAGGAAGUGCGCCCGAAACUGCCGAGCUUGAGUACCGGAGAGGGUGGCGGAAUUCCCCAAGUAGAGGUGAAAUUCGUAGAUAUGGGGGAGGAACACCGGUGGCGAAGGCGGCCACCUGGACGGAUACUGACGCUGAGACGCGAAAGCGUGGGGAGCAAACAGG
Molecule: ribosomal RNA, 254 nt
Filed under: uncultured bacterium
Lineage: Bacteria
Description: partial 16S ribosomal RNA
Rfam family: Bacterial small subunit ribosomal RNA
Source: RNAcentral